AGAUUGGGUUCUAGAGCCUUGCCUUCUCUCUCUCUCCCCCUCUCCUAAAACUGGACUUUGAAGACACCUCCCAACUUCUCUUUAUAAAUAAAUAGACUUGAUAAAAGAAAUUUGUGAGAGAGGUGGUAGAUGGGCUUAAGCUUUUUCAAGCAACCAAGACUUGCUAAGAUGUAGCCUUUAUCUGCAUUUGCACCUGCACCUUCUUGUUUAAUUCUCUGCUUCAGAAGCCAAAUGUGUUUGUUUGUGAUGUUGAUGAAAAUAGAAUAGGACUAAAACAAAAAAUAAUAAUAAGGUGCAGGUGCAGGCGCAGCUGAAUGCCAUUUUGGCCUUUUUCUUUUGGACACAGCGUGUACUUAUCCAUUUCACAUUAACCAUGUUCCAGGUUUCGUUAAAGAUCCCGCGGCCAUCGUUAUACUGUUGAAGCUUUGAAGACGUUUUGUUACUCAUCACUAGGGCUUCUCAAGGUAACAGGUUUAAUGUUACUCUCCUUUUAUAUAUAUUUCUCUUUCUUUUCUACAACAGCAAUAAUUUUGAUUUAAUUUUACCGGCAAUGGCUAAAAGCUUGAUUUCCUGGCAAGAUACAUACUGGAUUUCCAAAGAUCAUAAAUAUCUGAAAGGGGGGACUAUUUUUCUUUUUGUUCAAACCUGAAAGGGAAAUACUGAAUUGUAGUGCAUUGGGGGGAUAUAUGGUGUUAUUCCUUGGGGAAAUUCAUCUAAUUCCACAUCGUGUCGUCAAUCAUUUCUCCUGCUUGGUGAGUACAUCAGACAGAUUUUGUUUCUUCUUCUGCGGAGGGUGAAAAGCUGUUGUGCACCUCAAGAACCCUAGAAUAGAUAAGACGUCCUUCAGCAUCGUAACUUAAAAACUUUUUUCAGGAUGGAUCGAAUUUGUGAGUAUUUUAGUGAAAAAAUAAACUUAAUAGAGCAAGGAAACUGAACAAUUUUUAUUCAACAA
Gossypium arboreum is the source of this 952-nucleotide long non-coding RNA. RefSeq lists it as uncharacterized. The record is from RefSeq and is a predicted model, not a curated record. NCBI's taxonomy places the organism in Eukaryota, Viridiplantae, Streptophyta, Magnoliopsida, Malvales, Malvaceae. The transcript has 2 exons.